UCGGAUCUAGUGGCGAACGGGUGAGUAAUGCAUAAGUAAUCUACCUCUGAGAUGGAAAUAACCUUGCGAAAGCAGGGCUAAUAUCCAAUAUCCUCAUUUUUCAUAAGUUAGAUGAGAAAAUCUUUUUGGCUUGGAGAGGGGCUUAUGUCUGAUUAGCUAGUUGGUAGGGUAAAGGCCUACCAAGGCGACGAUCAGUAUCUGGCGUGAGAGCGUGAACAGACACAAUGGGACUGAGACACGGCCCAUACUCC
Molecule: ribosomal RNA, 251 nt
Filed under: uncultured bacterium
Lineage: Bacteria
Description: partial 16S ribosomal RNA
Rfam family: Bacterial small subunit ribosomal RNA
Source: RNAcentral